This 233-nucleotide ribosomal RNA is filed under the name uncultured bacterium. RNAcentral's name for it is "partial 16S ribosomal RNA". It matches the Rfam family "Bacterial small subunit ribosomal RNA", at positions 100 to 334 of the family's 1533-position model. The record is from RNAcentral.
CGGGACAGGUGAGUAAUGUCUGGGAAACUGCCCGAUGGAGGGGGAUAACUACUGGAAACGGUAGCUAAUACCGCAUAACGUCGCAAGACCAAAGAGGGGGACCUUAGGGCCUCUUGCCAUCGGAUGUGCCCAGAUGGGAUUAGCUAGUAGGUGGGGUAACGGCUCACCUAGGCGACGAUCCCUAGCUGGUCUGAGAGGAUGACCAGCCACACUGGAACUGAGACACGGUCCAG